This 463-nucleotide ribosomal RNA is filed under the name uncultured bacterium. RNAcentral's name for it is "partial 16S ribosomal RNA". It matches the Rfam family "Bacterial small subunit ribosomal RNA", at positions 28 to 507 of the family's 1533-position model. The record is from RNAcentral.
GACGAACGCUGGCGGCGUGCUUAACACAUGCAAGUCGAACGGAAAGGCCUUUUCGGAGGUACUCGAGUGGCGAACGGGUGAGUAACACGUGGGUGAUCUGCCCUGCACUCUGGGAUAAGCCUGGGAAACUGGGUCUAAUACCGGAUAGGACCGCACUUUAGUGUGUGUGGUGGAAAGUUUUUUCGGUGUAGGAUGAGCCCGCGGCCUAUCAGCUUGUUGGUGGGGUAAUGGCCUACCAAGGCGGCGACGGGUAGCCGGACUGAGAGGUUGGUCGGCCACAUUGGGACUGAGAUACGGCCCAGACUCCUACGGGAGGCAGCAGUGGGGAAUAUUGCACAAUGGGCGCAAGCCUGAUGCAGCGACGCCGCGUGGGGGAUGACGGCCUUCGGGUUGUAAACUCCUUUCGCCAGGGAGGAAGCGUUUUGUGACGGUACCUGGAGAAGAAGCACCGGCUAACUACGUG